GGAGAAGUACCCAAGUGGCUAUAAGGGGCUCCCCUGCUAAGGGAGUAGGCGUCGAAAGGCGUGCAGGAGUUCGAAUCUCCUCUUCUCCGCCA
RNAcentral lists this transfer RNA (92 nucleotides) under Ruminococcaceae bacterium OttesenSCG-928-O06. Its description in RNAcentral is "tRNA-Ser". It matches the Rfam family "tRNA". From Rfam's summary of the family: Transfer RNA (tRNA) molecules are approximately 80 nucleotides in length. Their secondary structure includes four short double-helical elements and three loops (D, anti-codon, and T loops). The record is from RNAcentral. Lineage: Bacteria; Bacillati; Bacillota; Clostridia; Eubacteriales; Oscillospiraceae.